This 443-nucleotide ribosomal RNA is filed under the name uncultured bacterium. Its description in RNAcentral is "partial 16S ribosomal RNA". It matches the Rfam family "Bacterial small subunit ribosomal RNA", at positions 338 to 795 of the family's 1533-position model. The record is from RNAcentral.
CCUACGGGUGGCUGCAGUGGGGAAUAUUGGACAAUGGGGGGAACCCUGAUCCAGCGACGCCGCGUGAGUGAAGAAGUAUUUCGGUAUGUAAAGCUCUAUCAGCAGGGAAGAAAGGAAUGACGGUACCUGACUAAGAAGCCCCGGCUACCUACGUGCCAGCAGCCGCGGUAAUACGUAGGGGGCAAGCGUUAUCCGGAUUUACUGGGUGUAAAGGGAGCGUAGACGGUUACGCAAGUCUGGAGUGAAAGGCGGGGGCCCAACCCCCGGACUGCUUUGGAAACUGUAUAACUGGAGUGCAGGAGAGGUAAGUGGAAUUCCUAGUGUAGCGGUGAAAUGCGUAGAUAUUAGGAGGAACACCAGUGGCGAAGGCGGCUUACUGGACUGUAACUGACGUUGAGGCUCGAAAGCGUGGGUAUCGAACAGGAUUAGAUACCCGAGUAGUC